CUAUGCGCCUUGCCAGCCCGCUCAGGUGUGCCAGCCGCCGCGGUAAUACGGAGGAUGCGAGCGUUAUCCGGAUUUAUUGGGUUUAAAGGGUGCGUAGGCGGAUUUUAAGUCAGCGGUAAAAUGUCCGGGCUCAACCCGGGCCGGCCGUUGAAACUGGGGAUCUUGAGUGGGCGAGAAGUAUGCGGAAUGCGUGGUGUAGCGGUGAAAUGCAUAGAUAUCACGCAGAACUCCGAUUGCGAAGGCAGCAUACCGGCGCCCGACUGACGCUGAGGCACGAAAGCGUGGGGAUCGAACAGG
RNAcentral lists this ribosomal RNA (297 nucleotides) under uncultured bacterium. RNAcentral's name for it is "partial 16S ribosomal RNA". It matches the Rfam family "Bacterial small subunit ribosomal RNA", at positions 475 to 776 of the family's 1533-position model. The record is from RNAcentral.